RNAcentral lists this long non-coding RNA (1169 nucleotides) under Homo sapiens (human). Its description in RNAcentral is "HSALNT0120580". Lineage: Eukaryota; Metazoa; Chordata; Mammalia; Primates; Hominidae. The record is from RNAcentral.
GUAGGAACUUCGCGUUCCCACCCUCCAGGGGAGGAGAUUGGAUCAGGCGCCAGCCUUGAGGUGUCUGAUUGGAGAAAAGCUGUGCAGUGCCGCUCCCCCGACCGACUCCUUGAGAAGAAACGGCGGAGACCUGAGACCCGGAGGCUGAGGCUGUAGGUGGGCUCCGCUGGGUAAAAGUUGCCGCAGCAGCUGUCCCUUGGCCCCAUCGCGAUUUAUUUUUCCCCCUUGCUUUCCGGGUCCCGGGAUCCCAAGUUUGUAACUAACGGGAGCGAAUCCACACCCGAGCAAAAUGUUUGCGAGUUUCAGGCGCCCUUAGUUGAAAGGCUGUAAUUAACAAGUCCGCUGUUUGCCAGCCAGGCGCCGUUGCAGGCGCUUUCUGUGGAUUGUCAUUUAUUUCUCACAGCAACCCUAGGAGAUGAAAUUGAAUCAUGGAAGAAUGCCUUUAUCUGAGGAGUCAUCACCACUAGGGAGCUAUGGAGGCUGUUAUCCUUGACAUCUGCAGCAGCCCUUCCAAGCUGUGGAGACCAGGUCAUCUGGAAUGCCCAUUUAUGUCAAUGGAAGAAAGAAAAAGGGGUCUCCUCCCAUCCUCACCACUGCAUUCUCCCACCAACCCUGCUCCUGUCCCACUUCCCACAACUCAGUUGUUGACAAUUUAACAGUGGGUUUCUGGAAACAGUGCUGCCUCCUUGAUGGUCUAACUAACUACCAGAGUUAUUCUAACAGCAGGAAUUUCAAGCCAGCAAACCAGACAUACAUAGGAGGCACAGCAAAAGACCCAAGGUGAGGGGCUUCCCUCACCUUCACCCUUGUUCUCACGUGGAGGUGGCGCAUGUCUAUGAGACACAGUACCCCACUCAGCGAUCCUCUGCAGUCCAGGAAAUUCUAGCACUUGCUUGGAAAACAAAUCAAGUGCGUCUCAUUCUGUUGCCCAGGAUGGAGUACAGUGGUGCCAUCUUCGCUCACUGCAGCCUUCGUCUCCCGGGUUCAAGCAAUUCUCCUGUCUCAGCCUCCCAAGUAGCUGGGAUUACAGACCCAUCAAGCCUUCAGAUAAGACUGCAGCCUCAUUACAGACCUUGAACUGGAGGCAGCCAGCUGAGUCACACCUGGAUUCCUGACCCUUAGAAACUAUGAGAUAAUAAAUGUUUACAGUUUUAAGCCACUAAGUUUCG